GGCAGCAUGGUCUAGUGGGUAGGGCACUGGGCUGGGACUCAGGAGGCCUGAGUUCAAUUCUCUGUUCUGCUG
RNAcentral lists this transfer RNA (72 nucleotides) under Chelonia mydas (Green sea turtle). It matches the Rfam family "tRNA". Rfam says of the family: Transfer RNA (tRNA) molecules are approximately 80 nucleotides in length. Their secondary structure includes four short double-helical elements and three loops (D, anti-codon, and T loops). The record is from Rfam by way of RNAcentral. Lineage: Eukaryota; Metazoa; Chordata; Testudines; Cheloniidae.